Molecule: non-coding RNA, 125 nt
Organism: Triticum aestivum (bread wheat)
Lineage: Eukaryota; Viridiplantae; Streptophyta; Magnoliopsida; Poales; Poaceae
Source: Rfam
AUAUUACUCCCUCCGUCCGCAAAUACAUGUCGGAGGAAUGAAUGUAUCUAGAUGCAUUUUAGUUUUAGAUGCAUCCAUUUAUACCCAUUUCCGCGACAAGUAUUUCCGGACGGAAGGAGUAGAUG